CUCGGAGUCGCCGAGAGGAGGAUAAGUCCCUGGAGCUGGUUCCUGCUGCGCACCCUCUGCCUCCUGCCGAGUGAUGCCAUCAUUGCACACUUGUACCAGCAAUAGAUGGGGCCCACCCAAUCAAGUGAAGACUUGAGCAGAAGACUUGAGGAAGAGGGAACUCCUUCAGCCUGACUGAGCUGGGUCAUUUUAUUUCUUUGCCUUUGGACUCAAAUGAAAACACUGCUUUUCUUGGGUCUUGAGUCUGCUGGCUUUCAGAUUGGGACUUGUAUCAUUAUUACUUCUGGUUUUCAGAGCUCUGGACUUGGACUAGAAUUACGCAUUGACUUUCCUGUGUUUCUUUCUUGUUGACUGCAGAUUUUGGAGAUUAGCCUCCAUAAUCAUGUAAGCCAAUAUCUCAUUUUAUGUAUAAUAUAUAUACACACAUAUAUAGCAUAAUAUAGUCAAGGCCAUGGUUUUUCCAGUAGUAAUGUACAGGUGUUAGAGUUGGACCAUA
This is a long non-coding RNA of Cervus elaphus (red deer), 496 nucleotides long. RefSeq lists it as uncharacterized. The record is from RefSeq and is a predicted model, not a curated record. The transcript has 3 exons. NCBI's taxonomy places the organism in Eukaryota, Metazoa, Chordata, Mammalia, Artiodactyla, Cervidae.